Molecule: ribosomal RNA, 515 nt
Filed under: Atactodea striata
Lineage: Eukaryota; Metazoa; Mollusca; Bivalvia; Venerida; Mesodesmatidae
Description: partial 16S ribosomal RNA
Rfam family: Bacterial large subunit ribosomal RNA
Source: RNAcentral
UCGCCUGUUUAUCAAAAACAUGGCUCUUUGAAUCUUUAGUAUAAGGAGUCGCGCCUGCCCGGUGAAGUAUAUCUUUAAACGGCCGCAAUUUUCAUUGUGCUAAGGUAGCGUGAUAAGUUGUCCUCUAAUUAGGGAAUGGUAUGAAAGGUAUGACGAGUGGGAAACUGUCUCUGAAAUGAAGUUGAAAAUUUUCUUUUAAGUGAAAAGACUUAGAUUUUGAAAUAAGACGAGAAGACCCCGGUGAGCUUGAUUAUAGCAAUUGAAGUUUAAUUGUUUGAAGUUUUGUUGGGGCAACAAAAAGAGAAAAAAAUUUCUUUUUAAGUAACGUGGAAAAUUAAAUAAACUAUUCGGCAAAAGCUACCACGGGGAUAACAGCGUAAUCACUUUCUGAGAGGCCAAAUCGAAGAAAGGGCUUGCGACCUCGAUGUUGGAUUAAGGUUUUCUUUUGGUGCAGGGGCUAAAAGGUAGGGACUGUUCGUCCUUUGAAUCCUUACGUGAUCUGAGUUCAGACCGGA